CUGGUUAAUUGGUGGGUAGUAACAGAGGGUUUGAUUCUGGCUCAGAUUGAACGCUGGCGGGAUGCUUACACACGCAAGUCGAACGGCAGCACGGACUUCGGUCUGGUGGCGAGUGGCGAACGGGUGAGUAAUGUAUCGGAACGUGCCUAGUAGCGGGGGAUAACUACGAAAGCGUAGCUAAUACCGCAUACGCCCUCGGGGGAAAGCGGGGACCUUCGGGCCUCGCACUAUUAGAGCGGCUGAUAUCGGAUUAGCUAGUUGGGGUAACGGCUCACCAAGGCGACGAUCCGUAGCUGGUUUGAGAGGACGACCAGCCACACUGGGACUGAGACACGGCCCAGACUCUACGGGAGGCAGCAGGGGAAUUUUGGACAAUGGGGGAAACCUGAUCCAGCCAUCCUGGCAAAGGAUGAAGCGCUCGGGUUGUAAAGCACUUUUUUUGGUAGGAAAGAAACGCCGAUAAUACCCGUGCAACUGACGGUACCUGCAGAAUAAGCACCGGCUAACUACGUGCCAGCAGCCGCGGUAAUACGUAGGGUGCAAGCGUUAAUCGGAAUUACUGGGCGUAAAGUGUGCGCAGGCGGUUCGGAAAGAAAGAUGUGAAAUCCCAGAGCUUAACUUUGGAACUGCAUUUAACUACCGAGCUAGAGCGUACGAGGAGGUGGAAUCGCGGUGGCAGUGGGAAUGCGUAGAUAUGCGGAGGAACACCGAUGGCGAAGGCAGCCUCCUGGGAUAACACUGACGCUCAUGCACGAAAGCGUGGGGAGCAAACAGGAUUAGAUACUCCGGUAGUCCACGCCUCAAACGAUGUCAACUAGCUGCUGUUGGGGCCUUCUGGCCGGUAGCGCAGCUAACGCGUGAAGUUGACCGCCUGGGGAGUACGGUCGCAAGAUUAAAACUCAAAGGAAUUGACGGGACCCGCACAAGCGGUGGAUGAUGAUUAAUUCGAUGCAACGCGAAAACCCCACUCACCCUUGACAUGCCCGGAAUCCUGAAGAGAUUUGGGAUAAGCCGUAAAGAGAACCGAACACAGGUGCUGCAUAUUGCCGUCAGCUCGUGUCGUGAGAUGCUGGGUUAAGUCCGCAACGAGCGCAACCCUACGCUAGCUACGAAAGGGCACUCUAAUGAGACUGCCGGUGACAAACCGGAGGAAGGUGGGGAUGACGUCAAGUCCUCAUGGUCUUUAUGGUAGGGCUUCACACGUCAUACAAUGGUCGGGACAGAGGGUCGCCAACCCGCGAGGGGGAGCCAUCCCAGAAACCUGAUCGUAGUCCGAUCGCAGUCUGCAACUCGACUGCGUGAAGUCGGAAUCGCUAGUAAUCGCGGAUCAGCAUGUCGCGGUGAAUAUUGCUCCCGGGUCUUGUACACACCGCCCGUCACACCAUGGGGAGUGGGUUUUACCAGAAGGGUUAGCCUAACCGUAAGGAGGGCGAUUACCACGGUAGGAUUCAUGACUGGAGUGAAGUCGUAACAAGGUAG
Molecule: ribosomal RNA, 1479 nt
Filed under: uncultured Bordetella sp.
Lineage: Bacteria; Pseudomonadati; Pseudomonadota; Betaproteobacteria; Burkholderiales; Alcaligenaceae
Description: partial 16S-23S ribosomal RNA intergenic spacer
Rfam family: Bacterial small subunit ribosomal RNA
Source: RNAcentral